AUUGAACGCUGGCGGCAGGCUUAACACAUGCAAGUCGAGCGGAGCGAGGGUGCUUGCACCUUAGCUUAGCGGCGGACGGGUGAGUAAUGCUUAGGAAUCUGCCUAUUAGUGGGGGACAACAUUCCGAAAGGAAUGCUAAUACCGCAUACGCUCUACGGGGGAAAGCAGGGGAUCUUCGGACCUUGCGCUAAUAGAUGAGCCUAAGGCGGAUUAGCUAGUUGGUGGGGUAAAGGCCUACCAAGGCGACGAUCUGUAGCGGGUCUGAGGGGAUGGUCCGCCACGCUGGGACUGAGACACGGCCCAGACUCCUACGGGAGGCAGCAGUGGGGAAUAUUGGACAAUGGGCGGAAGCCUGAUCCAGCCAUGCCGCGUGUGUGAAGAAGGCCUUUUGGUUGUAAAGCACUUUAAGCGAGGAGGAGGCUACUUAGAUUAAUACUCUGGGAUAGUGGACGUUACUCGCAGAAUAAGCACCGGCUAACUCUGUGCCAGCAGCCGCCGUAA
Molecule: ribosomal RNA, 501 nt
Filed under: uncultured bacterium
Lineage: Bacteria
Description: partial 16S ribosomal RNA
Rfam family: Bacterial small subunit ribosomal RNA
Source: RNAcentral